RNAcentral lists this long non-coding RNA (366 nucleotides) under Elaeis guineensis (African oil palm). Its description in RNAcentral is "long non-coding RNA (EGUI_LNC046717)". Lineage: Eukaryota; Viridiplantae; Streptophyta; Magnoliopsida; Arecales; Arecaceae. The record is from RNAcentral.
CUAUGUGAAUUGAGCAAUAAUUGCAAUAUAUCGUGGGCACAACGGUAGAAAGGCCCCUUUCAUCUGCCGUUCUUUCUUGGGCUGCAGAUACGCUGCAUGACGACCUAAAUCUUUUCCCUUGAGGGCGCUAGUUAUCCUCAACUUCCCAAGCAAGAGGUACUUUAUCGGUCUAGCAUCACAUAAUUUGGGGACAUGAUUUGGAUGAGAGAACAGGGAAACGUAUGAUGAGACGUGGCAGUUUUGAAAAAUGGGAGAUACGAGGAAGGCUUCAUAUUCUUUUCUCACCGUGCAAAAUAGGAUUUUCUCACCGUGCUACUGCCAUCCUCUUCUUAGAAAGAGAUCUUAUCUAAUAGCUAAGGGUCCCAC